UCGCCUGUUUAUCAAAAACAUCGCCUUUUGUAUGAAUAGAAGGUCUAGCCUGCCCACUGAAAAUUAAAGGGCCGCGGUAUUUUGACCGUGCAAAGGUAGCAUAAUCAUUAGUCUUCUAAUUAAAGGCUGGAAUGAAUGGUUGGACGAGGUGUUGACUGUCUCAUCGGAAUUGAGUUGGAAUUUAACUUUUUAGUUAAAAGGCUAAAAUAAUAUUGGAGGACGAGAAGACCCUAUAGAGCUUGAUAUUUAAAGUUUUUAAUUUCUUUAGUUGAGAUUAAAUUGAAAGCUAUCAAUAUUUCGUUGGGGUGACGGGGAGAUAAAUAAACUCUCUUUUUAAAUAAACCAUAGAUAUAUGCUUGAUUGAUCCAUUUUUAAUGAUUAAAAGACUAAGUUACCUUAGGGAUAACAGCGUAAUCUUUUUCGAGAGUUCAUAUCGACAAAAAGGGUUGCGACCUCGAUGUUGGAUUAAGGGUUAUUUUUGGGUGUAGAAGUUCAAAGUUUAGGUCUGUUCGACCUUUGAAUCCUUACAUGAUCUGAGUUCAAACCGGAGA
RNAcentral lists this ribosomal RNA (551 nucleotides) under Coloburiscoides sp. BYU IGCEP094. Its description in RNAcentral is "partial 16S ribosomal RNA". It matches the Rfam family "Bacterial large subunit ribosomal RNA", at positions 1796 to 2622 of the family's 2925-position model. Lineage: Eukaryota; Metazoa; Arthropoda; Insecta; Ephemeroptera; Coloburiscidae. The record is from RNAcentral.